Molecule: long non-coding RNA, 560 nt
Organism: Oncorhynchus keta (chum salmon)
Lineage: Eukaryota; Metazoa; Chordata; Actinopteri; Salmoniformes; Salmonidae
Exons: 4
Source: RefSeq, a predicted model, not a curated record
UUAAAGAUCAUUAAUGAAAAGGUCCUAAAACACCCAUCUACCCUGACAUUUCCUUAAAGAUCAUUAAUGAAAAGGUCCUAAAACACCCAUCUACCCUGACAUUUCCUUAAAGAUCAUUAACGAAAAGGUCCUAAAACACCCAUCUACCCUGACAUUUCCUUAAAGAUCAUUAACGAAAAGGUCCUAAAACACCCAUCUACCCUGACAUUUCCUUAAAGAUCAUUAAUGAAAAGGUCCUAAAACACCCAUCUACCCUGACAUUUCCUUAAAGAUCAUUAACGAAAAGGUCCUAAAACACCCAUCUACCCUGACAUUUCCUUAAAGAUCAUUAACGAAAAGGUCCUAAAACACUCAUCUACCCUGACAUUUCCUUAAAGAUCAUUAAUGAAAAGGUCCUAAAACACCCAUCUACCCUGACAUUUCCUUAAAGAUCAUUAACGAAAAGGUCCUAAAACACCCAUCUACCCUGACAUUUCCUUAAAGAUCAUUAAUGAAAAGGUCCUAAAACACCCAUCUACCCUGACAUUUCCUUAAAGAUCAUUAAUGAAAAGGUCCUAAAA